GACAGAGGCCUCGAGCGUUAGGCGGAAUCACUGGGCUUAAAGCGUGUGUAGGCGGAUCGUUAAGUGCCUUGUGAAAUCCCACGGCUUAACUGUGGAACGGCUGGGCAUACUGGCGGUCUUGAGCCAUCUAGGGGCGACUGGAACAAACGGUGGAGCGGUGAAAUGCGUAGAUAUCGUUUGGAACGCCAAUGGUGAAAACAGGUCGCUGGGGAUGAGCUGACGCUGAGACACGAAAGCCAGGGGGGCAAACGGG
RNAcentral lists this ribosomal RNA (253 nucleotides) under uncultured bacterium. RNAcentral describes it as "partial 16S ribosomal RNA". It matches the Rfam family "Bacterial small subunit ribosomal RNA", at positions 524 to 776 of the family's 1533-position model. The record is from RNAcentral.